GUAGGUGAACCUGCGGAAGGAUCAUUAAUGAGUUAGGGUCUUCCAGGCCUGAUCUCCAACCCUUUGUAUAACCACCAUGUUGCUUUGGCGGGCCCGUCUUUCACCGGACCGCCGGGGGUCUUUUUAACCUCUGGCCAGUGCUCGUCAGUAGCCUUAACAAACUCAUUUUAACCAUGUUAAAUCUGAAUAAUAGUUAAAUAAACUAAAACUUUCAACAACGGAUCUCUUGGUUCUG
This 235-nucleotide unclassified non-coding RNA is filed under the name rhizosphere metagenome. RNAcentral describes it as "partial ribosomal RNA internal transcribed spacer region". The record is from RNAcentral.